ACGGGUGAGUAACGCGUAUCGAACCUGCCUCAUACUCGGGGAUAGCCUUGCGAAAGUAAGAUUAAUACCCGGCGGUCUCGGAUGGCCGCAUGACAGUCCGAGUGAAGAUUUAUCGGUAUGAGAUGGCGAUGCGUCCCAUUAGCUUGUUGGUGAGGUAACGGCUCACCAAGGCAUCGAUGGGUAGGGGUUCUGAGAGGAAGGUCCCCCACAUUGGAACUGAGACACGGUCCAAACUCC
Molecule: ribosomal RNA, 237 nt
Filed under: uncultured Prevotellaceae bacterium
Lineage: Bacteria; Pseudomonadati; Bacteroidota; Bacteroidia; Bacteroidales; Prevotellaceae
Description: partial 16S ribosomal RNA
Rfam family: Bacterial small subunit ribosomal RNA
Source: RNAcentral